This 189-nucleotide ribosomal RNA is filed under the name uncultured bacterium. Its description in RNAcentral is "partial 16S ribosomal RNA". It matches the Rfam family "Bacterial small subunit ribosomal RNA", at positions 229 to 417 of the family's 1533-position model. The record is from RNAcentral.
GCUCGCGGCUGAUUAGCUAGUUGGUAAGGUAAUGGCUUACCAAGGCGACGAUCAGUAUCUGGUUUGAGAGGACGAUCAGACACACUGGAACUGAGACACGGUCCAGACUCCUACGGGAGGCAGCAGUGGGGAAUUUUCCGCAAUGGGCGAAAGCCUGACGGAGCAAUACCGCGUGAGGGAAGACAGCCU